GCCGUGCCGUGCCGUGCCGUGCCGUGCCGUGCCGUGCCGUGCCGUGCCGUGCCGUGCCGUGCCGUGCCGUGCCGGACCAUGGCCACCAGGGCGGUGGCGGGCCGAGUGUAGCGCGGCGGUGGGGAUGGAGCAGGGGGGCCGCCGAGGCCGCGGGUGCGGAGCAGGGCCAGCUGUCUUCCUCUGAGGCCAUCUGAAGGGGACUGGUG
Molecule: long non-coding RNA, 206 nt
Filed under: Cairina moschata (Muscovy duck)
Lineage: Eukaryota; Metazoa; Chordata; Aves; Anseriformes; Anatidae
Description: domestica (muscovy Duck (domestic type)) lncRNA (ENSCMMG00000011094.1)
Source: RNAcentral